GUGCCAGCAGCCGCGGUAAUACGGAGGGGGCCAGCGUUGUUCGGAAUUAUUGGGCGUAAAGGGCGCGUAGGCGGCGAGGUAAGUCAGACGUGAAAUCCCCCGGCUCAACCGGGGAAUUGCGUCUGAAACUGCCUUGCUCGAGGCCGGGAGAGGAGAGUGGAAUUCCCAGUGUAGCGGUGAAAUGCGUAGAUAUUGGGAGGAACACCGGUGGCGAAGGCGGCUCUCUGGACCGGUUCUGACGCUGAGGCGCGAAAGCUAGGGGAGCAAACAGGAUUAGAUACCCUGGUAGUCCUAGCUGUAAACGAUGGGUGCUUGGUGUAGGGGGUAUCGACCCCUCCUGUGCCGAAGCUAACGCAUUAAGCACCCCGCCUGGGGAGUACGGUCGCAAGGCUGAA
Molecule: ribosomal RNA, 395 nt
Filed under: uncultured bacterium
Lineage: Bacteria
Description: bacterial SSU rRNA
Rfam family: Bacterial small subunit ribosomal RNA
Source: RNAcentral